AAACGUAUGAAGAAGAACAAGAAGGGUAAAAAAAAGGGCAAGAAGUAGGUCACAUUCUAAUAACCACAUCUUUCGCACGCGCGUUAUUUAUCAUUUUAAGUUAGGUUUUUAAUUCUC
RNAcentral lists this non-coding RNA (117 nucleotides) under Proboscia inermis. Lineage: Eukaryota; Bacillariophyta; Melosirophyceae; Probosciales; Probosciaceae. The record is from RNAcentral.